GGAGGUAAAUGCUGGAGACAGGAGAGCAAAGAAAAAGGAGAAGGAGAAGAGAGCAAAGUGAACUCAUAUUACACUAAUUUAUGAAAGCAUCUUAUGCAAAUGGCCAAAGAAAACAGAAAGCAAGAAAUGAAGCAAGGCAGGACCAAUUGAUGGUACUUUGAACGAAGUUUCAUAUACCAGCAGAAGCAGCAGCCAAAGCAAAAAACAAACGAUUUAAUAAAGAGAGAGAAUUUAUUAAUUUGGCUAGCUAUUUUUAUUUUUAUUUCGGUGGGGUGGAUUGAAUUGAAUAAAACAAAAGAAGAAGAGAGGGAGGGGAGGGAUGGACAAUAAAUAAUGAGGAGGUGGGGUGGGUGAAAGCUGAAAGGGCCUCAAUAUAAGAGAGUGAAAGGAACAAUUCAUAAGAUGAACAACAAAUUGUUGGUAGAAUCCACAUCGAGAGAAAGGACCCAUCUGGCUUUUUCAUUUUCUUUUUCUUUUUUCUUGAUUGGAUUAAAGAGCAAGGGUUCUGCUUCUGC
This 515-nucleotide long non-coding RNA is filed under the name Citrus sinensis (sweet orange). RNAcentral describes it as "long non-coding RNA (CSIN_LNC002523)". The record is from RNAcentral. Lineage: Eukaryota; Viridiplantae; Streptophyta; Magnoliopsida; Sapindales; Rutaceae.